This 87-nucleotide transfer RNA is filed under the name Nitrospinota bacterium. RNAcentral describes it as "Nitrospinae bacterium tRNA-Leu". It matches the Rfam family "tRNA". Rfam says of the family: Transfer RNA (tRNA) molecules are approximately 80 nucleotides in length. Their secondary structure includes four short double-helical elements and three loops (D, anti-codon, and T loops). Further hydrogen bonds mediate the characteristic L-shaped molecular structure. tRNAs have two regions of fundamental functional importance: the anti-codon, which is responsible for specific mRNA codon recognition, and the 3' end, to which the tRNAs corresponding amino acid is attached (by aminoacyl-tRNA synthetases). tRNAs cope with the degeneracy of the genetic code in two manners: having more than one tRNA (with a specific anti-codon) for a particular amino acid; and 'wobble' base-pairing, i.e. permitting non-standard base-pairing at the 3rd anti-codon position. Lineage: Bacteria; Pseudomonadati; Nitrospinota. The record is from RNAcentral.
GCCGAAGUGGCGGAAUUGGUAGACGCGCAUGAUUCAGGGUCAUGUGGGCUUCGGCCCGUCGGGGUUCGACUCCCCGCUUCGGCACCA